This 252-nucleotide ribosomal RNA is filed under the name Cyanobacteriota bacterium PSP.bin.10. Its description in RNAcentral is "partial 16S ribosomal RNA". It matches the Rfam family "Bacterial small subunit ribosomal RNA", at positions 1 to 277 of the family's 1533-position model. The record is from RNAcentral. Lineage: Bacteria; Bacillati; Cyanobacteriota.
GACACGGAGAGUUUGAUCCUGGCUCAGGAUGAACGCUGGCGGUAUGCUUAACACAUGCAAGUCGCACGGACACCUUCGGGUGUUAGUGGCGGACGGGUGAGUAACACGUAGGAAUCUACCCUCAGGCGGGGGAUAACAGCUGGAAACGGCUGCUAAUACCCCAUACAGGCGGAAGCUGAAAGGAGCAAUCCACCUGAGGAUGAGCCUGCGUCGGAUUAGCUAGUUGGUGGGGUAAUGGCCUACCAAGGCGAC